CAGCAACAUACUCCAGGCGCCUGCGUAGUGUGGCAACACCGAAACUAUAUUAUGUCAGUGAAGAAGAUUUAUUUAAAUUAUAUUCAAAGUGUGCGAGAAGGUGAAAUACUUAACGUGUGUGCGGGAGACGGGUAAUUUGGAUUACAUGAAACUUGGUUACGAUACGUUGAUACCAGCAACAUUUAAAAGGACGAAUAAUCCCACUGAUCUUGUGUAGAUCACAGUUAUCAAAGAUGGCAGACAAAAGCGAGAUUUUAGAAGAUGGGAGAGAAGACAGCUGAUGGAGGAAAUACAAGGACGUGUGAAGCAGAGGAACGCCGAUAUGUGGGAUCGAUGCAAAUGCCGGACAUCGCCUUGGCUAACUACUACCACCACCACCACCACCACCGCCGCUUACCUUCAUCGAGAAGCCGCUCGAGGUGCGUGAAGAUGCCGCAGAGAUUGGGCAAACUGGUCAUGAGCUUCUUCUCGUUCAACAAUUGCAUCAAGUAGUCCGGACUCGGCCUCGGUCGCUCCUUCACUUCGACCUCUCCAACCAUCAUCUUUGCGGCGAGAGCGGAACGCACACAAGCCCGAACACAGAAUCCUUUUUUUGCUGGGGAGAAAACAAAUAAAGAAAAGGGAAGAGAAAAAAAA
Doryrhamphus excisus (bluestripe pipefish) is the source of this 636-nucleotide long non-coding RNA. RefSeq lists it as uncharacterized. NCBI's taxonomy places the organism in Eukaryota, Metazoa, Chordata, Actinopteri, Syngnathiformes, Syngnathidae. The record is from RefSeq and is a predicted model, not a curated record.